Osmerus eperlanus (European smelt) is the source of this 622-nucleotide long non-coding RNA. RefSeq lists it as uncharacterized. Lineage: Eukaryota; Metazoa; Chordata; Actinopteri; Osmeriformes; Osmeridae. The transcript is spliced from 2 exons. The record is from RefSeq and is a predicted model, not a curated record.
GUGUGUGUGUGUUUUGCGUCAUCUCACCUGCAGGUAGUCGGACUGUAUGGCGGACAGGAGGGGCUCCUUGCUGAGCUCAUACAGCACGUCUGACACCAUGACCUGGCUGAAGUCCUCGCACAGGAAGUGCAUGGCCUGCCGGUGGACCCACUUGGAGCCGUAGGGCUGCGAGCUCCACUUCAAGAUGGCCACCACCGUGUCCAGAGAGAUGCUUUCCACCACGAUGUCCUCACAGCCUGAGGGAUGUAAAUGGAGGAGACAAGAAGACCCACCUAUGAAAGUCUGCUGAGACUGUGAAUUGCCCCCAAAACGAGGAGAGCAUGAAUGAGGAUAGCUGGAGGCAUUGACACCCAUCCUCUCCUGCUUCAACUUCCUCUUCACACGGACCACUGAGGCCACUCCUGCUGGCACAUUCUGGCCGAGCAAAGGUCCUUCAAGUCAGGGUCCGGACACAGGCAGAGACUGGGUCUCAGUGCCUGUAGCUCCGCCUGCCAUUUCUGAAAAGUAACAGAGAAGGAGAAGUGAUUUACAUUGUAUGCCACAUACACAAACAACAUGUUACACAUAUCACGUUUUCUUCAAGAAAUAAACCCCAACCCAGUGUUGUUGAUAUUUUUGCAAA